AGGCAUUAUCAUCACCCACUUUGAGAUGAGGAAACUGAAGCUUCUUCUCUGAACAUUCCCUCCACUGAUUUGUUUUCAGAGUCUGCCGCCCUCUGAGGCUGCUAAAGCUGCUGAGUGGAGGUUGGAUUCCCUCUCACACCAAAGUUCUUCAGGGUCAGCAAGCGGUGGCUUAUUCAGGUCAGCGUUUGAAUGCAGGUUUACCACACGCUAUGCCUGGAAUGAAUCAUGCUCCCACUUCCCCCUCAGGUAUGCCUGCACUAGUCGUGGAGUGCUCUCGGUUUAUUUUUCCCAUCUUUCAAAUGGGGAAAACAGAGCUGGGGUUGUGGCUCAGUGGUGGAGCGCUUACAUCGCAUGCAUGAGGCACUGGGUUCGAUCCUCGGGACCACAUUAAAAAAAUAAAUAAAUAAAACAAAGAUACUGUGGCCAUCUACAACUAAAACACACAACCCCCCCCCCCCCCCCCCCCACCAAAAAAAUGGGGAAAACACUGCCAGCUCUGGGUUUGUUAAAGGGGAAAUAAAUGAUUGCUAAGGAUACUCAGUGUCCAUCCAGUUAGGGGGCCAUGCUGGACAGUUGGAAUGUCAGAGCUCAAAUUUCAGCUGUGAAAAUACUAGCCACAUGACCGUGGGAGAUUAUUCAACCUCACUACCCUUGAUUUUCCUGGGAAUCUCUUUCACUCUGGU
RNAcentral lists this long non-coding RNA (683 nucleotides) under Marmota monax (woodchuck). Lineage: Eukaryota; Metazoa; Chordata; Mammalia; Rodentia; Sciuridae. The record is from RNAcentral.